RNAcentral lists this long non-coding RNA (502 nucleotides) under Salvia miltiorrhiza (redroot sage). RNAcentral's name for it is "long non-coding RNA (SMIL_LNC001396)". Lineage: Eukaryota; Viridiplantae; Streptophyta; Magnoliopsida; Lamiales; Lamiaceae. The record is from RNAcentral.
CACAUUAGUAAUUAAAUAAUAACCACAAACUAUAAACUAAGUAACUAUUCCCCAAAUCACCACCAUCAUUUUUCUUAACCUCACAAUAACUAAUCAAUAAUAUUAAAAAAUUGGAGACCACAAUACUUUAAAAUAUAUAACAAAUUGUCAAAAAUAAAAGCCAUAUAUAUCAUAUAGCAUGGCACAAGCUUAAAAAAACUCAAGUGUUGCAUAAUGGUCGAUCAAGCAAAAAAAACAAAAAAAAAUAAAGUCAGAAUAUGUGAAGCCUGGGGGCAAAAGUAAAGAGUGAUCACCGGUGCACAAGGCACGAACAAAGAGCGGCUCCUAUAGUGCUUUGAAGCGGAGGGGUACAUGAACGAACCAACAAACACAUCAGAAAGAAAGGGAUUAUGGAAAUAUGUAGGCAUGAGACUGCAUAUUCUAUGAGAGCUUAAAUGAUUUGAUAGGUGCUACUCAUAUCAACAAGAUACAUUUUCUUUUCUAGUGAUCACGUGGAAGAAAC